GACGAACCGAGCGAACGUUAUUCGGAAUCACUGGGCUUAAAGGGCGCGUAGGCGGGCCUGCAAGUCAGGGGUGAAAGCCCCCAGCUCAACUGGGGAAGUGCCUCUGAUACUGCCGGCCUCGAGGGAGGUAGGGGCGUGCGGAACUUCCGGUGGAGCGGUGAAAUGCGUAGAUAUCAGGAGGAACACCGGUGGUGUAGACGGAUUACUGGACCACGACUGACGCUGAGGCACGAAAGCGUGGGUAGCAAACAGG
RNAcentral lists this ribosomal RNA (253 nucleotides) under uncultured bacterium. RNAcentral's name for it is "partial 16S ribosomal RNA". It matches the Rfam family "Bacterial small subunit ribosomal RNA", at positions 524 to 776 of the family's 1533-position model. The record is from RNAcentral.